This 331-nucleotide long non-coding RNA is filed under the name Elaeis guineensis (African oil palm). RNAcentral describes it as "long non-coding RNA (EGUI_LNC030500)". The record is from RNAcentral. Lineage: Eukaryota; Viridiplantae; Streptophyta; Magnoliopsida; Arecales; Arecaceae.
UGGUACAGAAAUAUGCCUCCUCACUGACUCUAAGGGACCAGUCUCGUGAUCAGAUACGAACUGAAUAUCAGGAGAUGCCCUGUGACCACGAGGAGGUAAAAAUGGUUCUUCCUCCUCUGCUCUCUCCUUAGCUCUCUCUUCAACAUCCUUCGACCAACCACCAUCAGUCUUUGAAAAACCCAUGCGAUGCAGUGUAUGGCGAUUGAUGGUGUUAGAAUGUGACAAUUUGGUGACUGUCUCCUUCUCAAAAUAGACUCCAAACCUCCUAAAGAUCAGGGUGAGUGCCAUACCAUAAGGCAAGUGAGCCUUAUACCUGUUCAGAGUCUCCCUC